UACGUAGGGUGCAAGCGUUGUCCGGAAUUAUUGGGCGUAAAGAGCUCGUAGGCGGCUAGUCGCGUCGGCUGUGAAAACCUGGGGCUCAACCCCGGGCCUGCAGACGAUACGGGCUAGCUAGAAUUCGGUAGGGGAGACUGGAAUUCCUGGUGUAGCGGUGAAAUGCGCAGAUAUCAGGAGGAACACCGGUGGCGAAGGCGGGUCUCUGGGCCGAUAUUGACGCUGAGGUGCGAAAGCGUGGGGAGCAAACAGG
This 253-nucleotide ribosomal RNA is filed under the name uncultured bacterium. RNAcentral's name for it is "partial 16S ribosomal RNA". It matches the Rfam family "Bacterial small subunit ribosomal RNA", at positions 524 to 776 of the family's 1533-position model. The record is from RNAcentral.